Molecule: ribosomal RNA, 1322 nt
Filed under: uncultured bacterium
Lineage: Bacteria
Description: bacterial SSU rRNA
Rfam family: Bacterial small subunit ribosomal RNA
Source: RNAcentral
CGUACGCACUGGCCCAACUGAUCGAUGGUGCUUGCACCUGAUUGACGUUGGAUCACCAGUGAGUGGCGGACGGGUGAGUAACACGUAGGUAACCUGCCCCGGAGCGGGGGAUAACAUUUGGAAACAGAUGCUAAUACCGCAUAACAACAAAAGCCACAUGACUUUUGUUUGAAAGAUGGCUUUAGCUAUCACUCUGGGAUGGACCUGCGGUGCAUUAGCUAGUUGGUAAGGUAACGGCUUACCAAGGCGAUGAUGCAUAGCCGAGUUGAGAGACUGAUCGGCCACAAUGGAACUGAGACACGGUCCAUACUCCAACGGGAGGCAGCAGUAGGGAAUCUUCCACAAUGGGCGCAAGCCUGAUGGAGCAACACCGCGUGAGUGAAGAAGGGUUUCGGCUCGUAAAGCUCUGUUGUUGGAGAAGAACGUGCGUGAGAGUAACUGUUCACGCAGUGACGGUAUCCAACCAGAAAGUCACGGCUAACUACGUGCCAGCAGCCGCGGUAAUACGUAGGUGGCAAGCGUUAUCCGGAUUUAUUGGGCGUAAAGCGAGCGCAGGCGGUUGCUUAGGUCUGAUGUGAAAGCCUUCGGCUUAACCGAAGAAGUGCAUCGGAAACCGGGCGACUUGAGUGCAGAAGAGGACAGUGGAACUCCAUGUGUAGCGGUGGAAUGCGUAGAUAUAUGGAAGAACACCAGUGGCGAAGGCGGCUGUCUGGUCUGCAACUGACGCUGAGGCUCGAAAGCAUGGGUAGCGAACAGGAUUAGAUACCCUGGUAGUCCAUGCCGUAAACGAUGAGUGCUAGGUGUUGGAGGGUUUCCGCCCUUCAGUGCCGGAGCUAACGCAUUAAGCACUCCGCCUGGGGAGUACGACCGCAAGGUUGAAACUCAAAGGAAUUGACGGGGGCCCGCACAAGCGGUGGAGCAUGUGGUUUAAUUCGAAGCUACGCGAAGAACCUUACCAGGUCUUGACAUCUUGCGCUAACCUUAGAGAUAAGGCGUUCCCUUCGGGGACGCAAUGACAGGUGGUGCAUGGUCGUCGUCAGCUCGUGUCGUGAGAUGUUGGGUUAAGUCCCGCAACGAGCGCAACCCUUGUUACUAGUUGCCAGCAUUAAGUUGGGCACUCUAGUGAGACUGCCGGUGACAAACCGGAGGAAGGUGGGGACGACGUCAGAUCAUCAUGCCCCUUAUGACCUGGGCUACACACGUGCUACAAUGGACGGUACAACGAGUUGCAAACUCGCGAGAGCAAGCUAAUCUCUUAAAGCCGUUCUCAGUUCGGACUGUAGGCUGCGACUCGCCUACACGAAGUCGGAAUCGCUAGUAAU